RNAcentral lists this microRNA (22 nucleotides) under Aegilops tauschii. RNAcentral describes it as "ata-miR2275b-3p". Lineage: Eukaryota; Viridiplantae; Streptophyta; Magnoliopsida; Poales; Poaceae. The record is from miRBase by way of RNAcentral.
CUUGUUUUCCUCCAAUAUCUCA